Molecule: ribosomal RNA, 2905 nt
Filed under: Salmonella enterica subsp. enterica serovar Goldcoast
Lineage: Bacteria; Pseudomonadati; Pseudomonadota; Gammaproteobacteria; Enterobacterales; Enterobacteriaceae
Description: 23S ribosomal RNA
Rfam family: Bacterial large subunit ribosomal RNA
Source: RNAcentral
GGUUAAGCGACUAAGCGUACACGGUGGAUGCCCUGGCAGUCAGAGGCGAUGAAGGGCGUGCUAAUCUGCGAUAAGCGCCGGUAAGGUGAUAUGAACCGUUAUAACCGGCGAUACCCGAAUGGGGAAACCCAGUGUGACUCGUCACACUAUCAUUAACUGAAUCCAUAGGUUAAUGAGGCGAACCGGGGGAACUGAAACAUCUAAGUACCCCGAGGAAAAGAAAUCAACCGAGAUUCCCCCAGUAGCGGCGAGCGAACGGGGAGUAGCCCAGAGCCUGAAUCAGCAUGUGUGUUAGUGGAAGCGUCUGGAAAGGCGCGCGAUACAGGGUGACAGCCCCGUACACAAAAGCGCAUGUGCUGUGAGCUCGAUGAGUAGGGCGGGACACGUGGUAUCCUGUCUGAAUAUGGGGGGACCAUCCUCCAAGGCUAAAUACUCCUGACUGACCGAUAGUGAACCAGUACCGUGAGGGAAAGGCGAAAAGAACCCCGGCGAGGGGAGUGAAAAAGAACCUGAAACCGUGUACGUACAAGCAGUGGGAGCACCCUUUGGGGUGUGACUGCGUACCUUUUGUAUAAUGGGUCAGCGACUUAUAUUCUGUAGCAAGGUUAACCGAAUAGGGGAGCCGUAGGGAAACCGAGUCUUAAUUGGGCGUUAAGUUGCAGGGUAUAGACCCGAAACCCGGUGAUCUAGCCAUGGGCAGGUUGAAGGUUGGGUAACACUAACUGGAGGACCGAACCGACUAAUGUUGAAAAAUUAGCGGAUGACCUGUGGCUGGGGGUGAAAGGCCAAUCAAACCGGGAGAUAGCUGGUUCUCCCCGAAAGCUAUUUAGGUAGCGCCUCGUGAACUCAUCUCCGGGGGUAGAGCACUGUUUCGGCUAGGGGGCCAUCCCGGCUUACCAACCCGAUGCAAACUGCGAAUACCGGAGAAUGUUAUCACGGGAGACACACGGCGGGUGCUAACGUCCGUCGUGAAGAGGGAAACAACCCAGACCGCCAGCUAAGGUCCCAAAGUCAUGGUUAAGUGGGAAACGAUGUGGGAAGGCCCAGACAGCCAGGAUGUUGGCUUAGAAGCAGCCAUCAUUUAAAGAAAGCGUAAUAGCUCACUGGUCGAGUCGGCCUGCGCGGAAGAUGUAACGGGGCUAAACCAUGCACCGAAGCUGCGGCAGCGACACUGUGUGUUGUUGGGUAGGGGAGCGUUCUGUAAGCCUGUGAAGGUGGCCUGUGAGGGUUGCUGGAGGUAUCAGAAGUGCGAAUGCUGACAUAAGUAACGAUAAAGCGGGUGAAAAGCCCGCUCGCCGGAAGACCAAGGGUUCCUGUCCAACGUUAAUCGGGGCAGGGUGAGUCGACCCCUAAGGCGAGGCCGAAAGGCGUAGUCGAUGGGAAACGGGUUAAUAUUCCCGUACUUGGUGUUACUGCGAAGGGGGGACGGAGAAGGCUAUGUUGGCCGGGCGACGGUUGUCCCGGUUUAAGCGUGUAGGUGUGUGUUCCAGGUAAAUCCGGUUCACUUUAACACUGAGGCGUGACGACGAGGCACUACGGUGCUGAAGCAACAAAUGCCCUGCUUCCAGGAAAAGCCUCUAAGCAUCAGGUAACAUCAAAUCGUACCCCAAACCGACACAGGUGGUCAGGUAGAGAAUACCAAGGCGCUUGAGAGAACUCGGGUGAAGGAACUAGGCAAAAUGGUGCCGUAACUUCGGGAGAAGGCACGCUGACACGUAGGUGAAGUGAUUUACUCACGGAGCUGAAGUCAGUCGAAGAUACCAGCUGGCUGCAACUGUUUAUUAAAAACACAGCACUGUGCAAACACGAAAGUGGACGUAUACGGUGUGACGCCUGCCCGGUGCCGGAAGGUUAAUUGAUGGGGUCAGCGCAAGCGAAGCUCCUGAUCGAAGCCCCGGUAAACGGCGGCCGUAACUAUAACGGUCCUAAGGUAGCGAAAUUCCUUGUCGGGUAAGUUCCGACCUGCACGAAUGGCGUAAUGAUGGCCAGGCUGUCUCCACCCGAGACUCAGUGAAAUUGAACUCGCUGUGAAGAUGCAGUGUACCCGCGGCAAGACGGAAAGACCCCGUGAACCUUUACUAUAGCUUGACACUGAACAUUGAGCCUUGAUGUGUAGGAUAGGUGGGAGGCUUUGAAGCGUGGACGCCAGUCUGCGUGGAGCCGACCUUGAAAUACCACCCUUUAAUGUUUGAUGUUCUAACGUGGACCCGUAAUCCGGGUUGCGGACAGUGUCUGGUGGGUAGUUUGACUGGGGCGGUCUCCUCCUAAAGAGUAACGGAGGAGCACGAAGGUUGGCUAAUCCUGGUCGGACAUCAGGAGGUUAGUGCAAUGGCAUAAGCCAGCUUGACUGCGAGCGUGACGGCGCGAGCAGGUGCGAAAGCAGGUCAUAGUGAUCCGGUGGUUCUGAAUGGAAGGGCCAUCGCUCAACGGAUAAAAGGUACUCCGGGGAUAACAGGCUGAUACCGCCCAAGAGUUCAUAUCGACGGCGGUGUUUGGCACCUCGAUGUCGGCUCAUCACAUCCUGGGGCUGAAGUAGGUCCCAAGGGUAUGGCUGUUCGCCAUUUAAAGUGGUACGCGAGCUGGGUUUAGAACGUCGUGAGACAGUUCGGUCCCUAUCUGCCGUGGGCGCUGGAGAACUGAGGGGGGCUGCUCCUAGUACGAGAGGACCGGAGUGGACGCAUCACUGGUGUUCGGGUUGUCAUGCCAAUGGCACUGCCCGGUAGCUAAAUGCGGAAGAGAUAAGUGCUGAAAGCAUCUAAGCACGAAACUUGCCCCGAGAUGAGUUCUCCCUGAGACUUAGAGUCUCCUGAAGGAACGUUGAAGACGACGACGUUGAUAGGCCGGGUGUGUAAGCGCAGCGAUGCGUUGAGCUAACCGGUACUAAUGAACCGUGAGGCUUAACCUU